Molecule: ribosomal RNA, 460 nt
Filed under: uncultured bacterium
Lineage: Bacteria
Description: partial 16S ribosomal RNA
Rfam family: Bacterial small subunit ribosomal RNA
Source: RNAcentral
CCUACGGGUGGCAGCAGUGGGGGAUAUUGCACAAUGGGGGAAACCCUGAUGCAGCGACGCCGCGUGUGGGAAGACGGUCCUAUGGAUUGUAAACCUCUUUAGGCGGGGAGCAAUGCCUGGCACGCGUGCCCGGAGGGAGAGUACCCGCAGAAUAAGCAUCGGCUAACUCCGUGCCAGCAGCCGCGGUAAUACGGAGGAUGCGAGCGUUAUCCGGAUUUAUGGGGUUUAAGGGGUGCGUAGGCGGAUUUUUAAGUCAGCGGUAAAAGGUCCGGGCUCAACCCGGGCCGGCCGUUGAAACUGGGAGUCUUGAGUGGGCGAGAAGUAUGCGGAAUGCGUGGUGUAGCGGUGAAAUGCAUAGAUAUCACGCAGAACUCCGAUUGCGAAGGCAGCAUGCCGGCGCCCGACUGACGCUGAGGCACGAAAGCGUGGGGAUCGAACAGGAUUAGAUACCCGUGUAGUC